AAGACUAUAGACCUGCGGAGUACCUGCGGAGGGAUCAUUACAUGGCGGAGGAGGUGGGCACCUAGUAAAAACAAAACCCUAGGUGUGUUGCCUACCACGCUUUCUACCCUUGUCUAUUUGCACCUUUUGUCGUUCCCUCGGUGGGUCUUGAACCUGCCGGCGGCAACUUUCAAAAACCUUUUGUAGUUAGUAUCUAAUUCUUCUGAUCAAAUAUUCAAUCGUUACAACUUUCAACAACGG
RNAcentral lists this unclassified non-coding RNA (240 nucleotides) under soil metagenome. RNAcentral's name for it is "partial contains 5.8S ribosomal RNA, internal transcribed spacer 2, and large subunit ribosomal RNA". The record is from RNAcentral.